UACGAAGGGGGCUAGCGUUGUUCGGAAUUACUGGGCGUAAAGGGCGCGUAGGCGGAUUGUUAAGUCGGGGGUGAAAUCCUGAGGCUCAACCUCAGAACUGCCUUCGAUACUGGCGAUCUUGAGUUCGGAAGAGGUUGGUGGAACAGCUAGUGUAGAGGUGAAAUUCGUAGAUAUUAGCUAGAACACCAGUGGCGAAGGCGGCCAGCUGGUCCGAUACUGACGCUGAGGCGCGAAAGCGUGGGGAG
This 245-nucleotide ribosomal RNA is filed under the name uncultured bacterium. RNAcentral describes it as "partial 16S ribosomal RNA". It matches the Rfam family "Bacterial small subunit ribosomal RNA", at positions 524 to 768 of the family's 1533-position model. The record is from RNAcentral.